RNAcentral lists this ribosomal RNA (701 nucleotides) under Ganoderma sp. BAB-4924. Its description in RNAcentral is "eukaryotic LSU rRNA". The stretch from base 244 to 397 matches the Rfam family "5.8S ribosomal RNA". The record is from RNAcentral. Lineage: Eukaryota; Fungi; Basidiomycota; Agaricomycetes; Polyporales; Polyporaceae.
GUAAACAAGGUUUCCGUAGGUGAACCUGCGGAAGGAUCAUUAUCGAGUUUUGACUGGGUUGUAGCUGGCCUUCCGAGGCAUGUGCACGCCCUGCUCAUCCACUCUACACCUGUGCACUUACUGUGGGCUUCAGAUCGUAAAACGGGUCCCUUUACCGGGUUUGCGGAGCGUGUCUGUGCCUGCGUUUAUCACAAACUCUAUAAAGUAUCAGAAUGUGUAUUGCGAUGUAACGCAUCUAUAUACAACUUUCAGCAACGGAUCUCUUGGCUCUCGCAUCGAUGAAGAACGCAGCGAAAUGCGAUAAGUAAUGUGAAUUGCAGAAUUCAGUGAAUCAUCGAAUCUUUGAACGCACCUUGCGCUCCUUGGUAUUCCGAGGAGCAUGCCUGUUUGAGUGUCAUGAAAUCUUCAACCUGCAAGCUUUUGUGGUUUGUAGGCUUGGACUUGGAGGCUUGUCGGCCGUUGUUGGUCGGCUCCUCUUAAAUGCAUUAGCUUGGUUCCUUGCGGAUCGGCUCUCAGUGUGAUAAUGUCUACGCUGCGACCGUGAAGCGUUUGGCGAGCUUCUAACCGUCUCAGUUGGAGACAACUUUAUGACCUCUGACCUCAAAUCAGGUAGGACUACCCGCUGAACUUAAGCAUAUCAAUAAGCGGAGGAAAAGAAACUAACAAGGAUUCCCCUAGUAACUGCGAGUGAAGGCGGGAAA